AACGAACGCUGGCGGCAUGCCUAACACAUGCAAGUCGAACGCUCCCUUCGGGGACAGUGCCGCAAGGGUGCGUCACGCGUGUGAGUCAGCCGUUAGGAUCGUACUCUAUACGAGAAAUUUGAGCUCAUAAAGGAGAAUGACUUCGGCCCAAAGAUUGUUGGCCUUUGGUUGGGCCAGUGUUAGACGCGCUAGUUGGUGGGGUAAAGGCCCACCCAGGCGACGAUCUAUAGCUGGUAUGAGAGGAUGAUCAGACACACUGGGACUGAGACACGCGGCAGACUCCUACAGGAAGCAGCAGGUGAGAAUAUUGUACAGCGGGGGAAAGUCUGAUAAAACAAUGCCGCGUGAGUGAUGAAGGCCUUAGGGGUGUAAAGCUCUUUUACCCGGGAUGAUAAUGACAGUACCGGGAGAAUAAGCCCCGGCUAACUCCGUG
RNAcentral lists this ribosomal RNA (433 nucleotides) under uncultured bacterium. RNAcentral's name for it is "partial 16S ribosomal RNA". It matches the Rfam family "Bacterial small subunit ribosomal RNA", at positions 29 to 507 of the family's 1533-position model. The record is from RNAcentral.